GCAAGUCGAACGAGAAAGGGGCCUUCGGGUCCUGAGUAAAGUGGCGCACGGGUGAGUAACGCGUAGGCAAUCUGCCCUCAGGCGGGGAAUAACCACGGGAAACCGUGGCUAAUACCACAUAACGUCGGAUGUCCGCAUGGACGACCGAUCAAAGGCUUCGGCCACCUGGGGAUGAGCCUGCGUCGGAUUAGCUUGUUGGUGAGGUAAAGGCUCACCAAGGCGACGAUCCGUAGCUGGUCUGAGAGGAUGAUC
Molecule: ribosomal RNA, 252 nt
Filed under: uncultured bacterium
Lineage: Bacteria
Description: partial 16S ribosomal RNA
Rfam family: Bacterial small subunit ribosomal RNA
Source: RNAcentral